UGGGGAAUAUUGCACAAUGGGCGCAAGCCUGAUGCAGCCAUGCCGCGUGUAUGAAGAAGGCCUUCGGGUUGUAAAGUACUUUCAGCGGGGAGGAAGGUGUUGAGGUUAAUAACCUCAGCAAUUGACGUUACCCGCAGAAGAAGCACCGGCUAACUCCGUGCCAGCAGCCGCGGUAAUACGGAGGGUGCAAGCGUUAAUCGGAAUUACUGGGCGUAAAGCGCACGCAGGCUGUCUGUCAAGUCGGAUGUGAAAUCCCCGGGCUCAACCUGGGAACUGCAUUCGAAACUGGCAGGCUAGAGUCUUGUAGAGGGGGGUAGAAUUCCAGGUGUAGCGGUGAAAUGCGUAGAGAUCUGGAGGAAUACCGGUGGCGAAGGCGGCCCCCUGGACAAAGACUGACGCUCAGGUGCGAAAGCGUGGGGAGCAAACA
This 427-nucleotide ribosomal RNA is filed under the name uncultured bacterium. RNAcentral's name for it is "partial 16S ribosomal RNA". It matches the Rfam family "Bacterial small subunit ribosomal RNA", at positions 355 to 774 of the family's 1533-position model. The record is from RNAcentral.